GACGGUCAUUUGAGCGGCGUGGAACUACUUCUUUCCAUUCCGAACAGAACCGUAAAACGCGCCAGCGCUGAUAAUAGUGCCGCCACACGGCGGUAUGAAGGUAGGUCAUGGCCGUCA
Molecule: ribosomal RNA, 117 nt
Filed under: Candidatus Amesiibacteriota bacterium
Lineage: Bacteria; Candidatus Amesiibacteriota
Source: RNAcentral